UCGAAACUGGCAGGCUAGAGUCUUGUAGAGGGGGGUAGAAUUCCAGGUGUAGCGGUGAAAUGCGUAGAGAUCUGGAGGAAUACCGGUGGCGAAGGCGGCCCCCUGGACAAAGACUGACGCUCAGGUGCGAAAGCGUGGGGAGCAAACAGGAUUAGAUACCCUGGUAGUCCACGCCGUAAACGAUGUCGAUUUGGAGGUUGUGCCCUUGAGGCGUGGCUUCCGGAGCUAACGCGUUAAAUCGACCGCCUGGGGAGUACGGCCGCAAGGUUAAAACUCAAAUGAAUUGACGGGGGCCCGCACAAGCGGUGGAGCAUGUGGUUUAAUUCGAUGCAACGCGAAGAACCUUACCUGGUCUUGACAUCCACAGAACUUUCCAGAGAUGGAUUGGUGCCUUCGGGAACUGUGAGACAGGUGCUGCAUGGCUGUCGUCAGCUCGUGUUGUGAAAUGUUGGGUUAAGUCCCGCAACGAGCGCAACCC
Molecule: ribosomal RNA, 478 nt
Filed under: Klebsiella pneumoniae
Lineage: Bacteria; Pseudomonadati; Pseudomonadota; Gammaproteobacteria; Enterobacterales; Enterobacteriaceae
Description: bacterial SSU rRNA
Rfam family: Bacterial small subunit ribosomal RNA
Source: RNAcentral